Molecule: long non-coding RNA, 1452 nt
Organism: Cyprinodon tularosa
Lineage: Eukaryota; Metazoa; Chordata; Actinopteri; Cyprinodontiformes; Cyprinodontidae
Exons: 3
Source: RefSeq, a predicted model, not a curated record
CCCUGAGCAAGACCCUUAGCCCCAUAUGGCUCUCCAGGCACAGUAGGCUGUCAACUGCUUCACAAGGAUGGAAUGGAAUUGACACAGAAGGGGGCAGCAUUGAAAAAGGCAGCAGAUUGUGAGGGCGAAAUACCAGAGCAGGAGAGAAGGCUUAGUGUCACCUGCUGUGUCACAAGCAGUUCCCCAUAGAGGAGGCUCUUCUGCGUCACCAGUGGCUCUCUGACCUCCACAAGAGAACCAGUGAACCUCAGUUCGUCUCUGAUCUUCAUGGAAAAGGUCUUACCUGUGUGCAGCCGUUCUCCGUCUUCAUCACCUGCCUGCCCGUUCUCGGAAACAUCUCUUGCAAGUACCAACGCUCUUGGAUCUCACUCACUUUCUCAUGGACCUUUGCGGUACAGUCUGCGAAGCCUGCUGAAUCAAACCCCUACAGAUCUAUGCUACCUCCCCUUCAUCUCUCUAGUAGGGAAAUCAAUCAAUCAUUAGUUGUCAUCAACCAACUCCUUCCUUAUCAGUCUGCUUUCUCCCCUCAGAUCAAUAAGAAAGUUCAACAGAUUUCCUGCAGUUCUGUUUCCAGAUUCUUUUUGCUGUUGAAAAACAAAGAAAAAAAAACUUUAAAUAGAGUUGUUCUUCUAAACGUGUGAUUCUGCAUGUGGACAAAAAACAAAGUACAAACCAAAUUGACAUAAAAUUGUUUUUUUUUUUACUAUUUUGAGUUCAUUUUAUUUUAUUAUUAUUUUAUUUUAUCCUUGAAAUCAAAAAGUUUCCCUCUUCCAAUGGCUGAAAGGACAAAAUAUGCAUAUUUUUAAGUAGUAUAUUUGCAGUAAUCUUAGAACUGGUGUGAAAUGAUCAAUUUUUUUGGUGUUGGUUUGGACUCUGGCAGCAUCAUUAAUUACUUCUGUUUACUCUGCAGGUAUGUAGACUAAAAUGAAACCAUGGAUAAUUUUUCUGCAUCUUUUUGAAACCCUUCAGUUUGCCAUUUUUCUAGAUAUUAAAGUGAUUUAGUAAAUGUACUGCUAAAUAAUGAAUGCAUGGGUUAGCAAUUUCUUUUUACGUGUUAUGGUCCAUAUUUUACUUGUAUUAGACUAACUUGAAAUGUACUAAUGGAUUUUACCAUGUUAUUUAACAAAUACACGCUAAAUGAUACCUGAAGCUGCAGCACAGUUUAAAUUAUGGCCAAAAUCUACCCUUCAUAAGUGUAAAUUAUAGUUCCACUUAACCUCAAGGACAAAUAACAAACUUCCUCUGCCCCUCUGAGAAGAUUCACUGAAACCAGUUUUCAGGUAAUUACAUAACCACAUCAUUUCCAUGGUGCUGCUAUUUAUUGCUCAUCCAUGGAUGGACCAUAUCGCAGUGAUAAUCACUUGGUGACUGCCAUCCACUCCCUGUAUGAUGAAUGCCAGCAGAUUGACCUUAAUUGACUGAGCGCAUUGUCAUCCAGCAGCAUUCAACAAA